GACGAACGCUGGCGGCGUGCCUAAUACAUGCAAGUAGAACGCUGAAGCUUGGUGCUUGCACCGAGCGGAUGAGUUGCGAACGGGUGAGUAACGCGUAGGUAACCUGCCUGGUAGCGGGGGAUAACUAUUGGAAACGAUAGCUAAUACCGCAUAACAGUAGAUAUCGCAUGAUAGCUACUUGAAAGGUGCAAAUGCACCACUACCAGAUGGACCUGCGUUGUAUUAGCUAGUUGGUGAGGUAACGGCUCACCAAGGAAACGAUACAUAGCCGACCUGAGAGGGUGGUCGGCCACACUUGGACUGAGACACGGCCCAGACUCCUACGGGAGGCAGCAGUAGGGAAUCUUCGGCAAUGGACGGAAGUCUGACCGAGCAACGCCGCGUGAGUGAAGAAGGUUUUCGGAUCGUAAAGCUCUGUUGUAAGAGAAGAACGAGUGUGAGAGUGGAAAGUUCACACUGUGACGGUAUCUUACCAGAAAGGGACGGCUAACUACGUG
This 497-nucleotide ribosomal RNA is filed under the name uncultured bacterium. RNAcentral describes it as "partial 16S ribosomal RNA". It matches the Rfam family "Bacterial small subunit ribosomal RNA", at positions 28 to 507 of the family's 1533-position model. The record is from RNAcentral.